RNAcentral lists this ribosomal RNA (490 nucleotides) under uncultured bacterium. RNAcentral's name for it is "partial 16S ribosomal RNA". It matches the Rfam family "Bacterial small subunit ribosomal RNA", at positions 28 to 507 of the family's 1533-position model. The record is from RNAcentral.
GAUGAACGCUAGCUACAGGCUUAACACAUGCAAGUCGCGGGGCAGCAUGGGGGUUGCUUGCAAUCCCCGAUGGCGACCGGCGCACGGGUGACUAACGCGUAUCCAACCUGCCCUUCACCACGGGAUAACCCGGCGAAAGUCGGACUAAUACCGUAUGUUGUCCAUUGACGGCAUCCGAUUUGGACGAAAGGCUUGGCGGUGAGGGAUGGGGAUGCGUCCGAUUAGCCAGACGGCGGGGUAACGGCCCACCGUGGCUACGAUCGGUAGGGGUUCUGAGAGGAAGGUCCCCCACACUGGAACUGAGACACGGUCCAGACUCCUACGGGAGGCAGCAGUGAGGAAUAUUGGUCAAUGGGCGUAAGCCUGAACCAGCCAAGUAGCGUGCAGGAUGACGGCCCUAUGGGUUGUAAACUGCUUUUAUGCGGGGAUAAAGUGGCCCACGUGUGGGCUUUUGCAGGUACCGCAUGAAUAAGGACCGGCUAAUUCCGUG